CUUCCCUACUGAAGCCUUGCUUUGGAAAAUGAUACCUGGAGCUGAAGCCCCUCUCUCUUCAUUGCAACCUCAAAGCAAGAUGGAGCUCAGAGGUAACAGCUGGAGUUUGGAUACAGGAGAAACUGAUUGCAGAACUUCAGAAGACAUGUAGCAACUCCUUAUCCAGAGGACACUUCAUUUUUUGUUUCCAAUAUCUUCUGAAUCCAGAAGUUCAAACUUUAAGGAUACCCUAUACCUGCUGAAGUUCUGAGUCGUGGUGACACCGCCAGUCUGUAAGUU
This is a long non-coding RNA of Apus apus (common swift), 279 nucleotides long. RefSeq lists it as uncharacterized. The record is from RefSeq and is a predicted model, not a curated record. The transcript has 3 exons. Lineage: Eukaryota; Metazoa; Chordata; Aves; Apodiformes; Apodidae.